CAGUAGCCGCGGUAAUACGAAGGGGGCUAGCGUUGUUCGGAAUUACUGGGCGUAAAGGGCGCGUAGGCGGCCAUUCAAGUUAGAUGUGAAAGCCCUGGGCUCAACCUAGGAAUUGCAUUUGAUACUGUUUGGCUUGAGUUCGGGAGAGGUGAGUGGAAUUCCCAGUGUAGAGGUGAAAUUCGUAGAUAUUGGGAAGAACACCAGUGGCGAAGGCGGCUCACUGGACCGACACUGACGCUGAGGCGCGAAAGCAUGGGGAGCAAACAGGAUUAGAUACCCCCGUAGUCCCUGUCUCUUAUAC
RNAcentral lists this ribosomal RNA (301 nucleotides) under uncultured bacterium. RNAcentral describes it as "partial 16S ribosomal RNA". It matches the Rfam family "Bacterial small subunit ribosomal RNA", at positions 509 to 807 of the family's 1533-position model. The record is from RNAcentral.